Molecule: transfer RNA, 72 nt
Filed under: Anaeromyxobacter sp. Fw109-5
Lineage: Bacteria; Pseudomonadati; Myxococcota; Myxococcia; Myxococcales; Anaeromyxobacteraceae
Also listed under: 5 other names
Description: tRNA-Val (CAC) (tRNA-Val-CAC-1-1)
Rfam family: tRNA
About the family: Transfer RNA (tRNA) molecules are approximately 80 nucleotides in length. Their secondary structure includes four short double-helical elements and three loops (D, anti-codon, and T loops). Further hydrogen bonds mediate the characteristic L-shaped molecular structure. tRNAs have two regions of fundamental functional importance: the anti-codon, which is responsible for specific mRNA codon recognition, and the 3' end, to which the tRNAs corresponding amino acid is attached (by aminoacyl-tRNA synthetases). tRNAs cope with the degeneracy of the genetic code in two manners: having more than one tRNA (with a specific anti-codon) for a particular amino acid; and 'wobble' base-pairing, i.e. permitting non-standard base-pairing at the 3rd anti-codon position.
Source: Rfam by way of RNAcentral
GGGCGCUUAGCUCAGCGGUAGAGCACAGCCUUCACACGGCUGGGGUCGCAGGUUCGAAACCUGCAGCGCCCA